UACAGAGGUCUCGAGCGUUGUUCGGAUUCAUUGGGCGUAAAGGGUGCGUAGGUUGGCGUGGUAAGUCUGGUGUGAAAUCCCGGGGCUCAACCCCCGGAACUGCACUGGAUACUGCCAUGCUUGAGUACUGGAGAGGAGAUUGGAAUUUACGGUGUAGCAGGUGAAAUGCGUAGAUAUCGUAAGGAAGACCAGUGGCGAAGGCGAAUCU
RNAcentral lists this ribosomal RNA (208 nucleotides) under uncultured bacterium. RNAcentral describes it as "partial 16S ribosomal RNA". It matches the Rfam family "Bacterial small subunit ribosomal RNA", at positions 524 to 728 of the family's 1533-position model. The record is from RNAcentral.